This is a long non-coding RNA of Psammomys obesus (fat sand rat), 3219 nucleotides long. RefSeq lists it as uncharacterized. Lineage: Eukaryota; Metazoa; Chordata; Mammalia; Rodentia; Muridae. The record is from RefSeq and is a predicted model, not a curated record. The transcript has 3 exons.
GUGAGAGUCAACCACUCUCCUUUGGGCACUUUUUGUUACUUAGCUUCUUUGGGUCUGUGGAAAAUAGAUUUUUUCAAAUAAUAUAUUCUGAUUGUGGUUCCCCUCUCUCAGCUUCUCCCAGACCCUGCCCACUUCCUGAUCCACCCAAAUACCCGGUCUUUCUCCAUUAGAAUACAAACAGACAUUAAUAAUAAUGAAUAAACAUAAACAAACCAGAAUAGGACAAAACAAACACAUAGAAGAAAAAGAGCCAAAGCAAAAGUACAAGAUACAUGUAGAGGCACACACCUUUGCACACACAGAAGUCUCAUAAAAGCAUAAAGCCAGAAACCAUAAUAUUUGCACAAAGGACUAUAUAAAAAACUAGACACCGGGCUGGAGAGAUGGCUCAGAGGUUAAGAACACCGGCUGUUCUUCCAAAAGUCCUGAGUUCAAUUCCCAGCAACCACAUGGUGGCUCACAACCAUCUAUAGUAAGAUCUGGUGUGCAGGCAGAAUGUUAUAAAAUAAACAAACAAACAAACAAAUAUAUAUAUAAAUAAAUAAAUAAAUGCUAGAAAUUCCCCAAUGGUUGGAGCUGUGGACAAUACAUGGUCAUUAAUCAUAUACAAAGUGAGUAAAGUGUAAUUAAUAAAAAAAAUAAAAUUAAAAAAAAGAACUAGACACCAAGAAAACAAGUAAGCAAAUGACAAGAUUGGGUACGUGUCUCAGAUGAGGAAACACAAGUGGGCGAGAAAUACCUACAGAAAUGGUCAACAUCCUCAGUCAUCAAGGAGAUGAAAAUAAAGACUAGCAGCUGAGCUGUCGCUUGUGACCGGUGUAAGAUGGAAUCUCAGAGUACUUUAUGUAGUUUAGGUAGUAGCUCUCUGAAGGGUGCAGUUGGUAAAGUUGUUUCCUGUUCCGUAGCCUGUCACUUUGUCUCAGUGACGGUACCCUUGGCUACACAGAAGCUUUUCCAUACCUUGUGGUCCCGUUUAUUAACUAUUGUUCUUGGUGUCCUUGUUGUCGGUCUGCUGACGCAAGCAUGGCCCCAAGAUCACAGGGAACGCGCUGCAGAUAGUGGGUACAGGGGACGGGGGGGCGGCGAGGCCCUGGUGCUGGGAAGUGGAGACAGGAGGAUCCCUGGGGCUUGCUGGCCAGUCAGUCCAGCUGGAUCGACUCCGGGUUCAGCGAGAGAACCGGGAAGUAAGAUGGAGAGCGUGAGAAACACAGCUGGUGUCUGCCUCAGGCCCCCAGGCGCACACACAGACACACACUGAGCGCAGACGCGGGGUCGCUGCAGCUCGUACCUGUUCCCCGGCAGCCACACCCGGCCUAAAUCUCCGCGCUCUGCCUUUCUGGACUCUUCCAGCAGCACACUGGCGAAGGGUGGCUGAGCCCACCUCGGAGACCGCCAGAGCUGCCCAGAGCCAGAUUUUGAAAUCCUGGUGACACUGGCACAGCUCACCGGGCUCUGAGCAGUUUGAACUGCAGACACCUCAGGCUGACAGGACAAGGCAAGCCUGGAAGCCCUUCAGAGCGCAGCGGAGCCUGGAGGUGCCUGGGAUGGACCAGGCUGGACCAGGAGGUUCCUGGCGUGGUGUGCAGAUCAAAGGGGCCCCCUCCGCGUGGGGAGUGAGGGCCUGCGGGCGGGCCCCUUCCUCAUCAGCCAGCCAUCGCUCUCCCCCGGCUCGCCUUUGCACGUGACCUGGCCGCAGUGUGCAGCAGGCCUCAGUGUCCUCCCUGAAGUCCUCAGGUGCUAACUCCGUAAACAUCUCUCCCACUCCCGAACUACCUCGGAUCCGAGCCUCCCUGCCGCAGACUGGGUCUUGGUCGGCUGUUUCGGGUGAAAGGUUUGAGGUUCAGGCCGGACGCUGAGUCAGAUUAUCGCAUCUGGGAAGAGAUUUACUAGGCGAGUUUUUAAACACCGUGGACAGACAGCAGAUGGCGGAGGCGCCAGUGAGGCCCGCGAGGAGAGAGGGUUCCCACAGGCCCAGAGGAAGGGGUUUCAGGUAGCCAGGCUGUGUCUGCCUUCCCAGGAAGCAUGGGGACAGGGGUCUUGCCUUGCCGGGAGGGAAUUUGCACACUUUGAAGGGUGCGGGGCGGCGAGGAGGAGGAGCGCUCGCUGUGGCGCGGGCGCGGGCGCGUGUCCGCCUGCACGUCCCAGACGCCGCUAACCGGAGCCUUCGGACUUCUAGGGAGAAGGAAAUGGCCCAGGAGUCCAGGCACCGGCAGUGAAGGGGUUAGGGUGCUGUAGAGUCAGGCAUGCUCCACUAGGGGGCGCGUGUCUCAGCUGCUGCGGCCGGGAGAGCGCUCUGCCGUCAGCCCCUUCAGUGAGUUUUCUCUCUCAGCGCAUGUCAGGCGGCUCACAACCCCGCAUAGCUUCAGCUCCGGGGCGUCUGAGGCUCUCUUCUGGCUUCUGUGGUAACCACACACACGUGCACAAACACCUGCACACUUAAAGCAAAAAAUCCCCCAAAAGGAAACGGGGCCUUGGUGUGAGCAGGAGUCUCGUCUGGCCUUAAGCAGGGAACGCUUCACCCUGAGGAACAUUUGGUUUCACCACCUUGCUCUGGCUCAGGUCUCUGGAGUGGUUGCAGUUAGGAGACCUGUUGUGACUGGGGAUUCCAGAAGAAGGCUUGGGCACACGAGGACGCCGCUGAGGGCUUGUAAACUGAGAGUCUCAUCCUGGAGACGCAGUAACCCGCGGACACGCAGAUGAGAGAAGGGAAUAGCAAGCAGGAGGCGCCCCCGCCCGUCAGGAGCAGCUGGAAUGUGGAGGUGCCCAGGAGAGACCGAGAUGUUCCCAUAAUUCAUGGGCCGGAAAUCUUGAAGACAUGCAGUAAUGCUGAGACUGGGGACAGGCAGCUCCGGGGACGACGACUCCCUGACAAAUAGCAUCCAACAGCAUCCAGCCACCAGCCAGCACACAUCUAUCGAGGCGCUAGCAUCUAUGUGCCCUCUGAAAAGUCCCUGGGAUUCCAAAUGUCACACAAUCCCAGAAACUACCUGCAGCUGGCAAAGCUACGCCUCUGCCUAGAGCACAAGGCAAAUCAUAGCCCACUGCUGGGAAGCGGCCCCAGAUCCCCACACCUGGGAUUAAAACAAAAACAUGUUCUUAGAAUAUGUGUGUGUGUUUUAAAAGAAACCAAAUCACACAAUUCUCACUACAAGUGUGUUCAAUUCCCAGAGGCCCUGGGAGUGUUGAAAACAAGUCAGAGGAAAGAAACUGGCAGCUGAG